GAUGGCCAGCCCGUUGGGCAGCAGCCGCGCUGUCUUGUGCUUCUUGAUGAGCUGCACGGAGACCACCGGGAUCACCACCUUAAUGUCCUUCCCGAAGAGGUUGGCGUAGAAGCAGAGCCAGUUGGGGGAGAUGUAAAGCCGCCCCUGGAUGAGGAUGUCCCUCUGCAGCGCGCAGGAGCAGACUUUCAGCACACUCUCCUCCGUCGGGAUGUCCUUGAACAGCUUGUGGUACUGGGAGUUGUACUUGCUGGCAGCCGCUUCCCUCUGGCACUUCUUGAUGUCCUCCUCCUUCAGGGCCUCGAGGCUGCCGUCCGGGGCCUCCGCGCUGCGCUCCCUGGGCGCCGCCUGCAGCCUGUCGCGGCCCGGCAUGGGCUGGGGGCUCCUCGGGGGGGCGGCCCGCUCGUGCAUCGGCGCGGCGCUGCGGGGACAGCCCGUGAGCCCCGGCCCGCGGCCGCGCGCCGCCCGUCGCUCCGCCGCCCGAGGGCAGCGCUGGGCGGACAGAAAGGGGCCGCGCUCGGCCGGGGCUCCCGCUCGGCGCCUCGAGGACGCGGGGAUCUCCUCAGGGCCGCACGGAGCACAGCCGUGACCUUCCGCGCUGGCCUCGCGGCCCGCCGCCGCCCGGGACGGGCCGAGGGCCGCCCGCCCUCCCCCGGCCCCGGGGAGCGGCCCCCGUCCCGCGCCUCGGUCCCGCUCCCGCCGCGGGUUCCGAACCCG
This 714-nucleotide long non-coding RNA is filed under the name Gallus gallus (chicken). The record is from RNAcentral. Lineage: Eukaryota; Metazoa; Chordata; Aves; Galliformes; Phasianidae.